RNAcentral lists this ribosomal RNA (467 nucleotides) under uncultured bacterium. Its description in RNAcentral is "partial 16S ribosomal RNA". It matches the Rfam family "Bacterial small subunit ribosomal RNA", at positions 29 to 507 of the family's 1533-position model. The record is from RNAcentral.
ACGAACGCUGGCGGCGUGCUUAACACAUGCAAGUCGAACGGAAAGGCCCUGCUUUUGUGGGGUGCUCGAGUGGCGAACGGGUGAGUAACACGUGAGUAACCUGCCCUUGACUUUGGGAUAACUUCAGGAAACUGGGGCUAAUACCGGAUAGGAGCUCCUUCUGCAUGGUGGGGGUUGGAAAGUUUCGGCGGUUGGGGAUUGACUCGCGGCUUAUCAGCUUGUUGGUGGGGUAGUGGCUUACCAAGGCUUUGACGGGUAGCCGGCCUGAGCGGGUGACCGGCCACAUUGGGACUGAGGUACGGCCCAGACUCCUACGGGAGGCAGCAGUGGGGAAUAUUGCACAAUGGGCGGAACCCUGAUGCAGCAACGCCGCGUGCGGGAUGACGGCCUUCGGGUUGUAAACCGCUUUCGCCUGUGACGAAGCGUGAGUGACGGUAAUGGGUAAAGAAGCACCGGCUAACUACGUG